RNAcentral lists this ribosomal RNA (434 nucleotides) under uncultured ciliate. RNAcentral's name for it is "SSU rRNA". It matches the Rfam family "Eukaryotic small subunit ribosomal RNA", at positions 475 to 971 of the family's 1831-position model. Lineage: Eukaryota; Ciliophora. The record is from RNAcentral.
AAAUAACAACAACGGGCUUUGUCUCGUUGAUUGGAAUGAGCACAAUGUAAAAGUCUUAGCUAGGACCCACNNGGAGGGCAAGUCUGGUGCCAGCAGCCGCGGUAAUUCCAGCUCCAGUAGCGUAUAUUAAAGUUGUUGCAGUUAAAAAGCUCGUAGUUGGACUUCCACUCCUCCGGGAGCAGCCUUGCAACUCUACAUGUCCUUAAACGGAUGGUAGAGACCUGCGGGCCCUUUACCUUGAGAAAACUAGAGUGUUUAAGGCAGGCUUCGCCUGAAUACUGCAGCUGGGAAUAAUGCAUCACGACUGUCUUGGCGAGACAGCUCUACACUUUUAAUAGGAACAGUUGGGGGCAUUCGUACUCAGCAGUCAGAGGUGAAAUUCUUGGAUUUGCUGAAGACNGACUANUGCGAAAGCAUUUGCCAAGGAUGUUUUC